GGCGGCGGCCGGUGGCAACGCGCAGGCGCGGGGGGGGCCGGGCCCAGCACGCAGCGCGCAGGCCCGCUGGCCGUGCGUGGAGGCGGGUUUGAACGGUGGCGGGUAGCGGAGCUUCUCGGUGCUGCGCUGCGCCGCUAAUGGAGCCCGUCCUGAAAGGUAUUUCUGCAUUUGUAGAAGUUUGGUCAUCUAGCAGAAGAGAAAAUUACUCAAAAACCUUUGAACAUCAACUUCUUGAAAUGGGAGCAAAAGUUUCAAAAACUUUGAACAAGCAUGUGACCCAUGUAGUCUUCAAAGAUGGACGUAUGACUACAUGGAGAAAAGCACAGAAGAUGGGUGUAAAAAUAGUUUCUGUACUCUGGGUGGAAAAGUGUCAAGAAACUGGACUACAUGUUGAUGAAUCCUUAUUUCCUGCAAUAGACACUAAUGAAGGAUUACCACUACUGAUGAAAAAACAUAAAUGUAUGCAGCCAAAAGACUUUGUUGAAAAAACUCCAGAAAAUGAUAGAAAGCUGCAGAGAAGACUGGACCAGAUGGCUAAAGAAUUAGCUGUACAAAAGACAGCAAUUAGUGCUGAAACUGAUGUACCAGUUUUACUAUUUGAAGACAAUGGUUCGCUUCUAUACAGUCCUGUUAAUAAGAUAAAACAUGAAUGCAGUGCAAUGGAAAGAAGAAUAAAGGAGAUGAAGGAAAAAAGAGAAAAUCUUUCUCCUACCGCUUCACAAAUGUCUCAAAUACCUCCGAGCAGUUCGCCAAGAGACUGUGUGCUGUCUACUUGUGUUUUACCUAAUUCAGAAGAUACAUUGUUACCAGGAGAACCGAUGGAAGACUGCUUGAACUCAAGUUACAAUUAUCUUUGGAAAACUGACAAAUUAAAGAGAAAGAAAACAGAGGCAGUAAAACAGACCUGUGAUACUUGGACUGACAUUAGUCUGUCUAUGAGUGCAUCAGUGAAUUCUCCCUCACAUAGCUAUGGGCAGAAGAGCUUAACACCAAAACACCACAGUAGAAGAAGCUUAAGAAAGAAACAGAUUUCGCAGCACAGUUUGGAUGACAAAUUGUCUUUAGAAAAGGAAGAUCUAAAAACAUUUCUGAAGAAAAAUCAGAAUGAAAAGAACAUGACCACUUCAGUUGCAAAAGAUAGUUCUCUUCUGCCAGUCAAGGGCUUUGGUCGUGUUACUCCUUCCAGAAAAACAGAUGGCUUAAAUACUAAUUCAUAUAUGAACAGUGAAGACUUCAACACAUGUUCAUUAGAUAGAAGCUUCCCUGAUGACAGAAAUUGUAUUCUUAAAGACAAGAAGAGGCAGAAACUACAAAUGCCACCUAGUUUGAAACUGGCUACCUCAGAACAGAGUGCAUCAGGGUCUGAAGAGUUCUUGCAAGCAGUUAAUACAUAUAGCAAGUCUUUUUGCACUGAAGAUGCUUCUUAUGAAGAUUUCUUUGCAACAUCUAAUUUGAAUGAAAAUGAGGUACAGGUACAAGUACCAAAGGAAUCAGAGGAUCUUCCUGAAGUUUGUUGCAAAGACUCCUUUAAAAGCAUGGACUUACUUGAUGUGAGUUUCUGUAAGCCACAUUCUACCUCCAAGAAAAGUAAGAAAAAGUCUAUUCCAGCAAAUGAUCUUUCAGUAAAGAAAAACUUCAAACCAGCUGAACAUCCUGGAAGUGUGCCACUGAAUUAUAUGUCAGAUGGUGAAAAAGCUGACACUGCAGAAGCUCCAGAUUCUGAUGAUGUGAGUAGGCUGCCCCAGAAUGCUCAUGAAAAAUCCUACAGAACCAAUGUGAAUUACUGUGCUCAUACUACUGGUGGUGAAAAUGAAGUUUCAGAGUGUCAUGUUACUGAUGGCUCUUGCAAAGUUUUUAAUGAACAAAAGAAUAAGCACAAUGGGGGGUUCAGAAAAAAUAGAAGACUUCAAAAGCCAUCAAGGACACUAGUUAUGACGAGUAUGUCUUCUGAGGAACAAAAUACGGUAAUCCAGGUGGUGAAUAAACUCGGAGACUUUUUGCUCUCAGAUGAUGUAUGUGAAACAACAAGUCAUGUAGUUACAGGGAGUCCUCGUCGUACCUUGAAUGUUAUGCUGGGAAUUGCUCGUGGGUGUUGGAUUGUUUCUUAUGAAUGGGUUCUUUGGUCUUUGGAAUUGGGCCAUUGGAUCUCAGAGGAACCAUAUGAACUUUCAUCCACCUUUCCUGCAGCUCCUUUUGUGAUGUGUCAGAACCUGUGAUGGGACAGGAGAAAGAUUACCUGCAUACUGAGACAAAGAUAAGGGCUCCUUUGAGUUUGGACUCCUUGCCUCCAUACAACCAUCUAGUGAAACUCCUAUUGCUGUGUACCUCACUGGCUAAGUAACAGUCAAUUCUUAAUAUUUCCAAAUAAAUCAUUUGCUGGAAAGGUAAUACUCCAUCUACAGUGGAAUGUACACAGAAGAUCAAAUCUUUUAUGAGUAUCCUAUCAUUAAAAUGGUAUAUUUUCUUCCCAACAUAAACCAACUAGAAAGUCCUCUUGCUGGUCUUUCACUUCAUCUGCAUCUGAAUUAUUACCUUAGUACUUUCACUACACAGAGAAAAUUCAAAUAUUUGGAAAUAGUUUGUCUCAUUACAAAUGAAAUUCAGAGACUGUUAUUGGUGGUGUCAGUAUUGUUUGAAAAUGAAUCCCCGUUCAGGCUAGCCACAGCCAAACUGACUUAUAUUUACAAAUCCUAUCAAAUCACUCAGUCUUACUAGCUUCAUUUUAAACUUGAUUAUAGAAGUUGUAUGUGCUUACUUGAUUUUUAAGUCAAUAUCUUCAGCCAAAUCUUUGAUCAAAUUCUAUUUUAAAUAACUAAUCAUGCUUUACUUUUAGUGUUAAAUGAUAUAUUAGUUGUUACUGCUUCAGCUGUAGCCUGUGGUAUGUUAAUAGCAAUGUCCAGUGAAUAGCAUUUUUCUUGAACACAAGUAGCUUUAUAUCUAAUUCAUUAAAUUAAUGAUCAGCUGAUGUUAUUCUACUAAUUUCUGGUUUCCUUUGCCUGUUUGCCCACUCAAGUAUCAUUUUUAAGAACAAAAAUGCAUACAAUAAAGUUAAAAUAUUCACUAGAUUAUGCCAUGUCAAUUAGAAGAAUAUCUCCUAAUUUCCUCUUCUGUUAAUGAAGAUUGUACCCUUGCACAGAGUGUCAAGGUGGCCUUCUUUGUCUAAAUACAAAGAUCAGCUCACCUAAGGCUUCCUUGUGGAGUCAGGGGGACUUCUCUCUGCUGAUUAGAAGGGGACUCUUGAGUAACAAACUCAGAUGAAAGCACCCAGUUUAGGUGAAAUGCACAUUAUGAAGUUCAGCAGACAAUACAAAUGCUGGCUUCAGGCUUAUUAUAAAACCCUCAUUGCUGUAAACUGCAUGGGAAGGACAGGAGCCUUCUCCUGACCACUUUUCUGCAGAAGGUGAUGAGAACUGAGGAUAAACUCACCUGAUUUCUUGUCUCUUUUGCUAAAAGUUCUAGUUUGACUUAUUGGAGGAAGUGACAGUUGUUCCAGAUUUCGGAUAUGUUCCAUUGUCUGAAUUUAAAGUGCUGUUAAUAGUAUUUAAAUUUAGAAUUUAAAGUAUGUUAAUAGUAUUUUUUUUCAUUUUAUUGCUGUGGUUUUUUGUUUGUUUUUUUUUUGUUUGUUUGUUUUGUUUUGUUUUUUUGGUUUUUUUUACUAUUGUAUCCCAACUUAAUUGUUUUGACUCUCAUCUUUUUCAGUAAUGCAUUCACUCGGACUAUGAAAUGAUUAAAUAACAUUCCACCAAGAAAUUUGGUCUAAAUAGAUCUGCAGACUUCAGCGUCAACUAUCAACAGGAAAAUACCAGCAAAAUCUCUUUUCAAACCAGCCUGUGAUGUUUGUAUCUCCUACCAGUCAGCCACCCUGCAAAAAGCUAAUUGAACUUAUACAGCUGUCAGGAGGAAAAAUAUGUAAAACCUUACGUCAGGCAAAAAUCUGUAUAGGAGAAAAACCAGGAAAGAAGUACCAAGAAAUAAAAUGUUUAUCAGAAAAA
RNA transcript from Columba livia (rock pigeon), 3992 nucleotides. It is a transcript of the gene named microcephalin 1, with no coding region annotated. The record is from RefSeq and is a predicted model, not a curated record. The transcript has 14 exons. Lineage: Eukaryota; Metazoa; Chordata; Aves; Columbiformes; Columbidae.